AAAUGGCAGUGUGCAAGAUGGGGAAAGGAUGGGGUCACACAAAGAAAAAGAGCUAGAGUUGACCUCUUUUCCACUCUGGGAAUGAGAUGUAAGCCAGGAGGCAAGCCUGAGGCUGAGACUCCACCAGGGAUGGCAGAAUCUCCUGAAGGAUUGGAGGUGGUGGCCAGGGCAGAGGCCAAGGUCUUGACAGAGGCCACUGACGAGAGACCUUGGAGUACUCUGUGAUCCAGAU
RNAcentral lists this long non-coding RNA (232 nucleotides) under Pan troglodytes (chimpanzee). RNAcentral's name for it is "long non-coding RNA NONPTRT018226". The record is from RNAcentral. Lineage: Eukaryota; Metazoa; Chordata; Mammalia; Primates; Hominidae.